This 895-nucleotide ribosomal RNA is filed under the name uncultured bacterium. Its description in RNAcentral is "bacterial SSU rRNA". It matches the Rfam family "Bacterial small subunit ribosomal RNA", at positions 8 to 916 of the family's 1533-position model. The record is from RNAcentral.
AGAGUUUGAUCAUGGCUCAGGACGAACGCUGGCGGCGUGCUUAACACAUGCAAGUCGAACGAUGAUCCGGUUUCGGCCGGUGAUUAGUGGCGAACGGGUGAGUAACACGUGGGUAAUCUGCCCUGCACUCUGGGAUAAGCCUGGGAAACUGGGUCUAAUACCGGAUAUGACCUUCGGUCGCAUGAUCGUUGGUGGAAAGCUUUUGCGGUGUGGGAUGGGCCCGCGGCCUAUCAGCUUGUUGGUGGGGUGAUGGCCUACCAAGGCGACGACGGGUAGCCGGCCUGAGAGGGUGACCGGCCACACUGGGACUGAGACACGGCCCAGACUCCUACGGGAGGCAGCAGUGGGGAAUGUUGCACAAUGGGCGCAAGCCUGAUGCAGCGACGCCGCGUGAGGGAUGACGGCCUUCGGGUUGUAAACCUCUUUCAGCAGGGAAGAAGCGCAAGUGACGGUACCUGCAGAAGAAGCACCGGCUAACUACGUGCCAGCAGCCGCGGUAAUACGUAGGGUGCAAGCGUUGUCCGGAAUUAUUGGGCGUAAAGAGCUCGUAGGCGGCUUGUCGCGUCGGUUGUGAAAGCCCGGGGCUUAACCCUGGGUCUGCAGUCGAUACGGGCAGGCUAGAGUUCGGUAGGGGAGACUGGAAUUCCUGGUGUAGCGGUGAAAUGCGCAGAUAUCAGGAGGAACACCGGUGGCGAAGGCGGGUCUCUGGGCCGAUACUGACGCUGAGGAGCGAAAGCGUGGGGAGCGAACAGGAUUAGAUACCCUGGUAGUCCACGCUGUAAACGGUGGGAACUAGGUGUGGGCAGCAUUCCACGUUGUCUGUGCCGUAGCUAACGCAUUAAGUUCCCCGCCUGGGGAGUACGGCCGCAAGGCUAAAACUCAAAUGAAUUGACGG